UCCUCUUCAACUUUGUCAACUCCUACGUCAUGAUCCUUCACCAAAUUUGGAGGUUGAAUAACGAACGAAGUAUCUUGUGCCUCCUUAACUUUGACAACGGGUGGAACAUCUUCGGUUUUUCUAGAAACACUAUUUCGCUCAUAAUAUUCCGCCCUCCAUGCUGACUCUUGAGCCUCUUCAAGGGUGUAGAAUAUACGCCACCCCAUCCUAAGACGUAUUGAAAUAUUCAAACCUGCCAAGUACCGUGAAAUUUCCG
Molecule: long non-coding RNA, 256 nt
Filed under: Erythranthe guttata (spotted monkey flower)
Lineage: Eukaryota; Viridiplantae; Streptophyta; Magnoliopsida; Lamiales; Phrymaceae
Description: long non-coding RNA (EGUT_LNC001870)
Source: RNAcentral